Molecule: ribosomal RNA, 254 nt
Filed under: uncultured bacterium
Lineage: Bacteria
Description: partial 16S ribosomal RNA
Rfam family: Bacterial small subunit ribosomal RNA
Source: RNAcentral
GAUCAACGCUGGCGGCGUGCCUCAGACAUGCAAGUCGAACGCGAAAGUUUCCUUCGGGAAGCAAGUAGAGUGGCGUCCGGGUGAGUAACACGUAGGUAAUCUACCUUUGGGUGGGGAAUAACAACCGGAAACGGUUGCUAAUACCGCAUAAUGCAGCGGCAUCACAUGAUGACAGUUGUUAACGCGGGGAGUCGCAAGACCUCGCGCCUAAAGAGGAGCCUGCGGCGGAGUUAGCUAGUUGGUAGGGUAACGGG